Molecule: long non-coding RNA, 376 nt
Organism: Rhipicephalus sanguineus (brown dog tick)
Lineage: Eukaryota; Metazoa; Arthropoda; Arachnida; Ixodida; Ixodidae
Exons: 3
Source: RefSeq, a predicted model, not a curated record
UUUACUACUGUGAAGAAUGAAACUAAUACUUCUGGUUAUGGCACUGAUAAUCAUGUUUGUCACACUGCCGAGGGCUGCACGGGCUGACAUAGACCUCACCUUCCAAGGCAAUAAAUGCGUCUACAAAGGUCACAAGUUGCCAAAUGGGGGUUUGGUUACUGGGAGUCUAGGCUGCACAGCAUUAGUCUGCCACGCCGACAAAAAAAGGAUGAACCUUUAUGGUUGUCCGAAACCAAAGCAUUAUAAAGGGGAUGAAGGCGUUAAUGAAUACGAGUGGCCCAAAUGCUGCAAUACUAAAUAACGCAGUCUCCAACCUGCAUGUAUUGCAUCCCGGAGAGGGCUAUCAAGAAAAAAAUUGUGUUUGAAAUUCUGGCAA